ACACAGACCUGCAGAACAGAUAGACAGGUAGACAGUUAGACAGGUAGACAGGUAGACAUACAGGUAGACAGGUAGACAGGUGGACAGUUAGACAGGUAUACAGGUAGACAGGUGGACAGGUAGACAGGUAGACAGGUAGACAGACAGGUAGACAGGUAGACAGGUAGACAGGUAGACAGACAGGUAGACAGGUAGACAGGUGGACAGGUAGACAGACAGACAGGUAGACAGGUAGACAGACAGGUAGACAGGUAGACAGGUAGACAGGUGGACAGGUAGACAGGUAGACGGACAGGUAGACAGACAGGUAGACAGACAGGUGGACAGGUGGACAGGUAGACAGGUAGACAGGUAGACAGGUGGACAGGUAGACAGGUAGACAGACAGGUAGACAGACAGGUAGACAGGUAGACAGACAGGUAGUCAGGUAGACAGGUAGACAGACAGGUAGACAGACAGGUGGACAGGUUGACAGGUAGACAGGUAGACAGGUAGACAGGUGGACAGGUAGACAGGUAGACAGACAGGUAGACAGACAGGUAGACAGGUAGACAGACAGGUAGACAGGUGGACAGGGUUAGGGUUCAGAUGAAUAACAGGAAGUGUGUUUAGUGAUCAGAUCAAUAACAGGAAGUGUGUUUAGUGAUCAGAUCAAAACAGGAAGUGUGUUUAGUGAUCAGAUCAAUAACAGGAAGUGUGUUUAGUGAUCAGAUCAAAACAGGAAGUGUGUUUAGACAUCAGAUCAAUAACAGGAAGUGUGUUUAGUGAUCAGAUCAAAACAGGAAGUGUGUUUAGACAUCAGAUCAAUAACAGGAAGUGUGUUUAGUGAUCAGAUCAAAACAGGAAGUGUGUUUAGACAUCAGAUCAAUAACAGGAAGUGUGUUUAGUGGUCAGAUCAAAACAGGAAGUGUGUUUAGACAUCAGAUCAAUAACAGGAAGUGUGUUUAGUGGUCAGAUCAAAACAGGAAGUGUGUUUAGACAUCAGAUCAAUAAGAGG
This is a long non-coding RNA of Scomber japonicus (chub mackerel), 997 nucleotides long. RefSeq lists it as uncharacterized. The transcript has 4 exons. The record is from RefSeq and is a predicted model, not a curated record. Lineage: Eukaryota; Metazoa; Chordata; Actinopteri; Scombriformes; Scombridae.